GCCUUCGUGGUGUAACGGUGCACACUCUAUGUAUUCGAGAGGUCCGGGUUCGAAUCUCGUCGAGGGCA
RNAcentral lists this transfer RNA (68 nucleotides) under Stegodyphus mimosarum. It matches the Rfam family "tRNA". Rfam says of the family: Transfer RNA (tRNA) molecules are approximately 80 nucleotides in length. Their secondary structure includes four short double-helical elements and three loops (D, anti-codon, and T loops). Further hydrogen bonds mediate the characteristic L-shaped molecular structure. tRNAs have two regions of fundamental functional importance: the anti-codon, which is responsible for specific mRNA codon recognition, and the 3' end, to which the tRNAs corresponding amino acid is attached (by aminoacyl-tRNA synthetases). tRNAs cope with the degeneracy of the genetic code in two manners: having more than one tRNA (with a specific anti-codon) for a particular amino acid; and 'wobble' base-pairing, i.e. permitting non-standard base-pairing at the 3rd anti-codon position. Lineage: Eukaryota; Metazoa; Arthropoda; Arachnida; Araneae; Eresidae. The record is from Rfam by way of RNAcentral.